Homo sapiens (human) is the source of this 1059-nucleotide RNA transcript. It is a transcript of the gene named ALG1 like 1, pseudogene, with no coding region annotated. NCBI's taxonomy places the organism in Eukaryota, Metazoa, Chordata, Mammalia, Primates, Hominidae. The record is from RefSeq and is marked validated. The transcript is spliced from 7 exons.
CUACAGAGGCAGGCAGGCCUCCUUGAGCUGUGGUGGGCUCCACCCAGUUUGAGCUUCCCAGCUGCUUUGUUUACCUAAGCAAGCCUGGGCAAUGUCGGGUGCCCCUCCCCCAGCCUCACUGCCGCCUUGCAAUUUGAUCUCAGACUGCUGUGCUAGCAAUCAGUGAGACUCCGUGGGCGUAGGACCCUCUGAGCCAGGUGCGGGAUAUAAUCUUGUGGUGCGCCGUUUUUUAAGCCGGUCCGAAAAGCGCAAUAUUCGGGUGGGAGUGACCCGAUUUCCCAGGGCUGUGACCAUCUAUGACAAGCCGGCAUCUUUCUUUAAAGAGACACCUCUGGACCUGCUGCACCGGCUCUUCAUGAAGCUGGGUGGCACUCACUCUCUGUUCAGGGCCUGCUCAGAACCUGAGGACGCAGCCAUGGAGCGGUCGGCCUUCAUGGAGCUGGAUGCUGGGAGCAGGCUGGUGAUGCAUCUCCGCGAGUGGCCAGCCCUGCUGGUCAGCAGCACGGGCUGGACAGAGUUUGAACAACUUACUCUUGAUGGACACAACCUUCCUUCUCUUGUCUGUGUGAUAACAGGGUCGGUGGACCUGGGUGUCUGUCUGCACAUGUCCUCCAGUGGCCUGGACCUGCCCAUGAAGGUGGUGGACAUGUUCGGGUGCUGUUUGCCUGUGUGUGCCGUGAACUUCAAGUGUUUACAUGAGCUGGUGAAACAUGAAGAAAAUGGCCUGGUCUUUGAGGACUCAGAGGAACUGGCAGCUCUGCAGAUGCUUUUCUCAAACUUUCCUGAUCCUGCAGGCAAGCUAAACCAGUUUUGGAAGAACCUGCGGGAGUCGCAGCAGCUCCGAUGGGAUGAGAGCUGGGUGCAGACUGUGCUCCCUUUGGUUAUGGACAUACAACUCCUGGGCCAGAGGCUAAAACCCCGGGACCCCUGCUGUCCUUCCCGCAGCUUCUUCUCGGAGUCUCAGGGCAAACCCUUUUGAGCAGCGCCUCCCAGUGGCCAGAAGCUGAAAUGACGGCAGUGGUGCCGCCUGGUGAAUGAAUUGGUUCUGUGACCCGGGAA